RNAcentral lists this ribosomal RNA (253 nucleotides) under uncultured beta proteobacterium. RNAcentral describes it as "partial 16S ribosomal RNA". It matches the Rfam family "Bacterial small subunit ribosomal RNA", at positions 524 to 776 of the family's 1533-position model. Lineage: Bacteria; Pseudomonadati; Pseudomonadota; Betaproteobacteria. The record is from RNAcentral.
UACGUAGGGUGCGAGCGUUAAUCGGAAUUACUGGGCGUAAAGCGUGCGCAGGCGGUUCGCAAAGUCUGAUGUGAAAGCCCCGGGCUCAACCUGGGAAUUGCAUUGGAAACUGACGAGCUUGAGUGUGGCAGAGGGGGGUGGAAUUCCACGUGUAGCAGUGAAAUGCGUAGAGAUGUGGAGGAACACCGAUGGCGAAGGCAGCCCCCUGGGCUAACACUGACGCUCAGGCACGAAAGCGUGGGGAGCAAACAGG